RNAcentral lists this transfer RNA (72 nucleotides) under Chloroflexota bacterium. RNAcentral's name for it is "Chloroflexi bacterium tRNA-Met". It matches the Rfam family "tRNA". Rfam says of the family: Transfer RNA (tRNA) molecules are approximately 80 nucleotides in length. Their secondary structure includes four short double-helical elements and three loops (D, anti-codon, and T loops). RNAcentral also lists the same sequence under 2 other names. Lineage: Bacteria; Bacillati; Chloroflexota. The record is from RNAcentral.
GGCGAGGUAGCUCAGUGGAAGAGCAGGGGACUCAUAAGCCCUUGGUCGGCGGUUCAAUCCCGCCCCUCGCCA